This 331-nucleotide long non-coding RNA is filed under the name Elaeis guineensis (African oil palm). RNAcentral's name for it is "long non-coding RNA (EGUI_LNC021045)". The record is from RNAcentral. Lineage: Eukaryota; Viridiplantae; Streptophyta; Magnoliopsida; Arecales; Arecaceae.
GUUGAUAUCAUGAUCAUCUUAACAAAAGUGAUUGGAUGUGUCUAAACUUUUCACAUGCUUGUUAGCGGUCAAAUUUUAUUUAUAGAAAACAAGUUUGCUUUCUUAGCCUUAUCUUUAUACAGCCUUGUCUCUCUAUAUGAGAUUUUGAUAUCUCAUUAGAUUUUUCAUGCAGCAGUUAAUAUUGCACAAGGAACUAUUUGUUGUUAAAAAAUUCAUUAUCUUUUCUUAGAACAAAUUAAAAUGUUGCUUGAACUGGGUUUGUUCAGUUUUAAUUGGAAUUUGAUAGCAAGGAGGAGGAGAAGCAUAGGAAGAGGGAGUCGUUAAGGGAGGG